Molecule: microRNA precursor, 111 nt
Organism: Prunus persica (peach)
Lineage: Eukaryota; Viridiplantae; Streptophyta; Magnoliopsida; Rosales; Rosaceae
Rfam family: MIR390 microRNA precursor family
Source: Rfam
AGGGAGAAUCUGUAAAGCUCAGGAGGGAUAGCGCCAUAUGAACAAAAUGGUUUAAUUUAUAUUAGGCAUUUGUUUUGGCGCUAUCUAUCCUGAGUUUCAUGGCUUCUUCUU